CAAGAUGGACACAUGGUCCGAGCGGCGUGGAUCAGGCUUUUCAGUGCGAACCCCACACGGCCCGACCCCCACUCUGACAUCCUAAGGUCAGUUAUGUGCUAAUCGCAAGGAGGCUCUAAGGUGGGGCAAUGUGGACGUCCGGCAAGGGCACACUUUUUUUUAGGGGCACAAAAACUCUAAAAGUUCUCGGUUAUAUAUAGAUGCGAAUAAUCGUUUAUUGCUAUAACUUUCAUGGGCGUGUAAAAAAUAAUAAUUUACAUUAUUUAAUUUGUUAAGGCCUAAGGGUUAUGGGCAUGUUUUCUAGCUCGGCCAAGGCACCUGAAUCAUCAGGACCGCCUCUGGCUAAUCGGCGUGUGUUUGUAUUAAGUUUGCCUUGCUAAAACACAAAAAAGUAAGAAAUGUGUACAAACCAUUUAUUGUUAAAAAUGUCUUAUGAUGUUAAGGUAUGGAGAGCAUGGUAGAGCUAAAUGAAU
This 473-nucleotide long non-coding RNA is filed under the name Helianthus annuus (common sunflower). The record is from RNAcentral. Lineage: Eukaryota; Viridiplantae; Streptophyta; Magnoliopsida; Asterales; Asteraceae.